This 73-nucleotide transfer RNA is filed under the name Nanobdellati archaeon. RNAcentral's name for it is "tRNA-His". It matches the Rfam family "tRNA". From Rfam's summary of the family: Transfer RNA (tRNA) molecules are approximately 80 nucleotides in length. Their secondary structure includes four short double-helical elements and three loops (D, anti-codon, and T loops). The record is from RNAcentral. Lineage: Archaea; Nanobdellati.
GUCGCCAUAGCGUAGCUUGGUAGCGUUAGAGACUGUGGAUCUCUAGGGCCGGGUUCAAAUCCCGGUGGCGGCC